Molecule: ribosomal RNA, 758 nt
Filed under: uncultured Stenotrophomonas sp.
Lineage: Bacteria; Pseudomonadati; Pseudomonadota; Gammaproteobacteria; Lysobacterales; Lysobacteraceae
Description: bacterial SSU rRNA
Rfam family: Bacterial small subunit ribosomal RNA
Source: RNAcentral
AGUGAACGCUGGCGUAGGCCUAACACAUGCAAGUCGAACGGCAGCACCGGAGAGCUGCUCUCUAGGUGGCGAGUGGCGGACGGGGUGAGGAAUACAUCGGAAUCUACUUUGUCGUGGGGGAUAACGUAGGGAAACUUACGCUAAUACCGCAUACGACCUACGGGUGAAAGCAGGGGAUCUUCGGACCUUGCGCGAUUGAAUGAGCCGAUGUCGGAUUAGCUAGUUGGCGGGGUAAAGGCCCACCAAGGCGACGAUCCGUAGCUGGUCUGAGAGGAUGAUCAGCCACACUGGAACUGAGACACGGUCCAGACUCCUACGGGAGGCAGCAGUGGGGAAUAUUGGACAAUGGGCGCAAGCCUGAUCCAGCCAUACCGCGUGGGUGAAGAAGGCCUUCGGGUUGUAAAGCCCUUUUGUUGGGAAAGAAAUCCAGCCGGCUAAUACCUGGUUGGGAUGACGGUACCCAAAGAAUAAGCACCGGCUAACUUCGUGCCAGCAGCCGCGGUAAUACGAAGGGUGCAAGCGUUACUCGGAAUUACUGGGCGUAAAGCGUGCGUAGGUGGUUAUUUAAGUCCGUUGUGAAAGCCCUGGGCUCAACCUGGGAACUGCAGUGGAUACUGGAUGACUAGAAUGUGGUAGAGGGUAGCGGAAUUCCUGGUGUAGCAGUGAAAUGCGUAGAGAUCAGGAGGAACAUCCAUGGCGAAGGCAGCUACCUGGACCAACAUUGACACUGAGGCACGAAAGCGUGGGGAGCAAACAGG